UACGUUCCCGGGCCUUGUACACGCCGCCCGUCACACCAUGGGAGUGGGUUCGACCUAAAGCCGGUCGUCCAACCGCAAGGGGGGACGCCGUCCACGGUCGGGUUCAUGACUGGGGUG
RNAcentral lists this ribosomal RNA (117 nucleotides) under uncultured bacterium. Its description in RNAcentral is "partial 16S ribosomal RNA". It matches the Rfam family "Bacterial small subunit ribosomal RNA", at positions 1367 to 1482 of the family's 1533-position model. The record is from RNAcentral.